UAAACCAGGCUGGUAUUGGUGGAGGUA
Molecule: non-coding RNA, 27 nt
Filed under: Homo sapiens (human)
Lineage: Eukaryota; Metazoa; Chordata; Mammalia; Primates; Hominidae
Source: RNAcentral